This 1271-nucleotide long non-coding RNA is filed under the name Carica papaya (papaya). RNAcentral's name for it is "long non-coding RNA (CPAP_LNC010109)". Lineage: Eukaryota; Viridiplantae; Streptophyta; Magnoliopsida; Brassicales; Caricaceae. The record is from RNAcentral.
CCAAGACUCCCUUAAGUAAUCUUUUCUUCCACAUCCUCAUUCUUCAUCUUCUUCUGACCGAAAACCAGACCCAAAAUUGAGGAAAACAGAGUGUUUGAGUGAGGAAGAAGAGUCGAACAUAGUGCAAAGUGCGAUCCUGAACUGGGGUGCGUUCUGGUGCAUGAGUUGGGAGUGUUCCCCUUCUGUUUCGGUUUAGUAAUUCGCCUUCUCUUCCAACUCAUUUCCUUUCAAUCUUUAGCCUAUGAGGAUCUAUCUUGCAGCUCCUCAAAUCCAGAACUGCAGCAGACUUGAAAACCCGAAGCCAUUUCUGUUGUUGCACUUGUCAUCGCGAUCUAUGCAUGCGAGUUUGCUGUUUCUGCUAAUUUUUCGGUUUCUAUUUCAUAUUUCCUUGAAAGUAUGGGUAAUUAGCCGUUAGAGUAAGUUAUUAGGAGUGUUAGAAAUCCAAUUCUCAAAAGUUAAAUCACUCUUAAAUCCAAUCUAACUCAGUGUCGCUUCACGGGUUCUGUAAUUAUUUUUAGUGUUGCAGAACCGUUUCCCAGCGCAGAGCUCUCGUUUUCUUCCUAUGUUAAAGCCCAAUUCCCAGUUAAGAUGAAUAUAAAUUUUGUUUAUGCUGAUAGUAAGUUUUUUUACAUGCGUUUCAUGGGUUAAUUGCUUGGAAACAUUCGUUGAUGCUGCAGGUGACAGAAAACGGUGUACAUGUGUCAUGAAUGGUGUUUUAAACGUUAAAUGAAUGUUUUUUUUAUGUAUGAAUGCACGAUAAUGAUUAUGUGAUGUUUGUAAAUAAUUGAAAAAAGGACAAACAGCGAAGAAAUUGAGAAACAAAGGGCAAAUUACUUAUGUCACCGGUGCUAGGUACCAAGGUGCUGAUGCUGGUGGGUAUAUGUGGUUCUGCCGCAUGUGUGUGUACUUGGGAUGCUUUCUAGACAACCAAAAAUGCUUGGAGACGUCCCUGGUACACGAUCAAGGUGCAAUUAUGCCGCACGGUUGGGCAUGAAACACUGCCAGGAGCCUACGGGUGCCAAGAGUAUUUAUGCGAGGACGGUCAUGGCAUGUCAUGUGUGCUGGAGUGCGUAUGUGCACAGGGUGUGUGCGCGCGGGUGCCUCUGCACUCCAGUACCUGUCCCACGAGCUAGCUGCUCUUUUGCAGCAGGCAUUGCGUGCCGUGCUAACCUGUCAGGUAUCCACGGUUGCCGAAAUAUCUUUGCGGGUGCCCCGUACCGCGAGUGCAGGUAAGAGGGAAUUUCCCUUGGGUAAGGGUUACAUUAAAAAGG